AUUGAACGCUGGCGGCAUGCCUUACACAUGCAAGUCGAACGGCAGCACGGGGCAACCUGGUGGCGAGUGGCGAACGGGUGAGUAAUGCAUCGGAACGUGCCAUUGAGUGGGGGAUAACGUAGCGAAAGUUGCGCUAAUACCGCAUAUUCUGUGAGCAGGAAAGCAGGGGACCGCAAGGCCUUGCGCUCUUUGAGCGGCCGAUGUCAGAUUAGCUAGUUGGUGAGGUAACGGCUUACCAAGGCGACGAUCUGUAGCGGGUCUGAGAGGAUGAUCCGCCACACUGGAACUGAGACACGGUCCAGACUCCUACGGGAGGCAGCAGUGGGGAAUAUUGCGCAAUGGGGGAAACCCUGACGCAGCCACGCCGCGUGGGUGAUGAAGGCC
This 384-nucleotide ribosomal RNA is filed under the name uncultured bacterium. Its description in RNAcentral is "bacterial SSU rRNA". It matches the Rfam family "Bacterial small subunit ribosomal RNA", at positions 30 to 416 of the family's 1533-position model. The record is from RNAcentral.